UGUGAGGUGCAUGUAGGCAUGGUCUUAGUGAUGCAAUACGUGAUAGCGUGUGAGUGGUACAUGGUUUGUGUGGUUGGCGGGCUCUAUGCUUGUGCAUUGAACCGUUCAUUAGCAUACCUUUUCAUUGUUUGCUCCAAGUGCACCAUGUGCCUUGGGUGACGUGUGGUCCCUAUGUUGUAUUCCUACCGACGGUAUUCACAUUAUCCCCUUAUAGGCGCGAUUUUCGCUCUACAUCCGUAAAAGGAGGUCGAGCGGACAAAGAAACUUGGUUCGUUAUCCACCCGUCAAGCGAAAACAAGCACGAUAGGACUGGAUUACGAUCUCAGGUUGGGCCCUUGGAUGCAGUAUGUUGAGUGGGUGUUGAUGUUAAAUCGUCGCACACCCAAAACGUUGUACGAUGGAUGACAUUCGAGUGCGUGGUGACUCUUUCUUGAUUGAAAGGGCUCAUGCGUGUCGAUGUCGAUCGAGGAGUGCUACCUGGUUGAUCCUG
This 490-nucleotide unclassified non-coding RNA is filed under the name Tecticornia australasica. RNAcentral's name for it is "partial external transcribed spacer". Lineage: Eukaryota; Viridiplantae; Streptophyta; Magnoliopsida; Caryophyllales; Amaranthaceae. The record is from RNAcentral.